Molecule: ribosomal RNA, 292 nt
Filed under: uncultured bacterium
Lineage: Bacteria
Also listed under: 2 other names
Description: partial 16S ribosomal RNA
Source: RNAcentral
GGACUACAGGGGUAUCUAAUCCCGUUUGCUCCCCUGGCUUUCGCGCCUCAGCGUCAGAAGAGGUCCAGCAGCUCGCUUUCGCCACCGGCGUUCCUUCCGAUAUCAACGCAUUUCACCGCUCCACCGGAAGUUCCAGCUGCCCCUACCUCCCUCCAGCCCCCCAGUAUCCAAGGCCCUUUUCCGGUUAAGCCGAAAGAUUUCACCCCGGACUUGGGAGACCGCCUACGCGCCCUUUAAGCCCAGUGAUUCCGAACAACGUUCGCACGGUUCGUCUUACCGCGGCGGCUGGCAC